Long non-coding RNA from Cyprinus carpio (common carp), 357 nucleotides. RefSeq lists it as uncharacterized. The transcript is spliced from 3 exons. The record is from RefSeq and is a predicted model, not a curated record. Lineage: Eukaryota; Metazoa; Chordata; Actinopteri; Cypriniformes; Cyprinidae.
UUAAAAACUUCCUGUCCGUCAUUUGCAGUACGUGUUGUUCUGUUCGAUAGGACACCCUUGCGCUCGCUUUCAAAGCCCCAAUUUAACGAAGAUUUUUCAGUGUUUUCCGACUUCAUCAGCAUACCACCAAUAUUUAAUUUAAUAAACAUGGACCAAAUGGAAGACCCCGCUGGAUCGGAUAAUAAACGAGCUAUAGAGCGGAAAAGGAGUUGAAGAUGCCAAAGGAGGACUUCAGAGAGGACAAGCUUUCAACAUCAGCACCGUCCAUCACUUUGUCCCUCCUCUCAUCCCCGUAACAUCAGGCACAGGCACUGGUUUAGUCCGAGACCUCAGCCCAAUACUCCAUUUAAGUCCAGC